Molecule: ribosomal RNA, 677 nt
Filed under: uncultured fungus
Lineage: Eukaryota; Fungi
Description: eukaryotic LSU rRNA
Rfam family: Eukaryotic large subunit ribosomal RNA
Source: RNAcentral
CCCGCUGAACUUAAGCAUAUCAAUAAGCGGAGGAAAAGAAACUAACAAGGAUUCCCCUAGUAACUGCGAGUGAAGCGGGAAAAGCUCAAAUUUGAAAUCUGGCAGUCUUUUUUUUCUUCUUUGGCUGUCCGAGUUGUAAUCUAGAGAAGUGCUUACCUGCGCUGGACCAUGUAUAAGUCUCCUGGAAUGGAGCGUCACAGAGGGUGAGAAUCCCGUCUUUGACAUGGACUGCCAGUGUGUUGUGGUGUGCUCUCAAAGAGUCGAGUUGUUUGGGAAUACAGCUCUAAAUGGGUGGUAAACUCCAUCUAAAGCUAAAUAUUGGCGAGAGACCGAUAGUGAACAAGUACCGUGAGGGAAAGAUGAAAAGGACUUUGGAAAGAGAGUUAAACAGUAUGUGAAAUUGUUGAAAGGGAAACGCUUGAAGUCAGUUAUGUUGGCUAGGGAUCAACCUAGCUGUUUUUUGCUGGGUGAAUUUCCUAGUCUGACAGGCCAACAUCAGUCUUGACUGCUGGAAAAGAGCAGGGGGAAUGUGGCACCUUUGGGUGUGUUAUAGCCCUUUGUCAUAUGUGGCAGUCGGGACUGAGGGAUGCAGCAUGCCGCGAGGCUGGGUUUCUGACCACGUUCAUGCUUAGGAUGUUGGCUUUUAAUGGCUUCAAUCGACCCGUCUUGAAACACGG